RNAcentral lists this unclassified non-coding RNA (236 nucleotides) under air metagenome. RNAcentral describes it as "partial contains small subunit ribosomal RNA, internal transcribed spacer 1, and 5.8S ribosomal RNA". The stretch from base 1 to 46 matches the Rfam family "Eukaryotic small subunit ribosomal RNA", at positions 1786 to 1831 of the family's 1831-position model. The record is from RNAcentral.
AAGUCGUAACAAGGUUUCCGUAGGUGAACCUGCGGAAGGAUCAUUACAGAGAACAUGCCCUCCGGGGUAGAUCUCCCACCCUUUGUCUACAUUACCUUUGUUGCUUUGGCAGGCCCGUCCCUGGACCGCCGGCUUCGGCUGGUCAGUGCCUGCCAGAGGACCCCAAACUCAUAUUAUCUUAUUGUCUGAGAACUAUCUAAUAGUUAAAACUUUCAACAACGGAUCUCUUGGUUCUG